AAUUAGAAAGACAACAUUUGAUAACGAAUUUAAUAAUAUUUCAGGUACUUCAUCACGUGCUAAAGGUAACAAUAAACCCGAGGAAACAAAAGACAACCCGAUGAAAGAUGUCAUUCUCAAUGGUAAUCCAUCGGAGUCAAAAUCAAAGGAUAACAAUGGACAACCGACAAAUCUAAUGGCUAAUGUUUUAUUAAACGGCACAUCGUCUUCGGAUAAUGAAAAAGGUGACGAUAACCCCAAGGAAGUAAAAGAAAACCCGAUGAAAGAUGUUAUUCUCAAUGAUACUCCAGCUGAGGAAAAAUCGACGGAAAACAAAACUGGACAACCCAGUAAUCCACUGGGUAACCUUAUUUUAAAUGGUACUUCGACCAAUGGCAGUAAUAACCAAAAACCUGAGGAAGCCAAAGAUGGUUCAAAAUCCAAGUCUGACAAUGAAAACUGUAACGAUGAAAAACCUAAAGAUAAUCCACUAAAAGAUGACAUUCUUAAUGAUACUAACAAAACUCAAGAAGAUCGGACAAGCUCUGGUGCCAAAGAAGAAUCUAAUCAACAUCAGUCAGAGUCAUCACUAGAAAAUAGGGAUGAAGCAAAUUCAGCAACAAACGAAGGUUCAUCACAGGAGUCAAACUCUUCAAAUAAAAAAGAAAAAGUUUCUUCAGAACAGUCGAGCUCUUCAGAAGAUCACGAUUCUUCUCAAAAAUCGGAAGACUGCUAGGCAUCUAAAAGCUCUGAUCUCUAACAACUUUUUUUGUUUAUGAAUUUGGAUAGAUACUAACAAAACUCAAGAAGAUCGGACAAGCUCUGGUGCCAAAGAAGAAUCUAAUCAACAUCAGUCAGAGUCAUCACUAGAAAAUAGGGAUGAAGCAAAUUCAGCAUCAAACGAAGGUUCAUCACAGGAGUC
This is an RNA transcript of Leguminivora glycinivorella, 901 nucleotides long. It is a transcript of the gene named SWR1-complex protein 4-like, with no coding region annotated. The transcript is spliced from 8 exons. The record is from RefSeq and is a predicted model, not a curated record. Lineage: Eukaryota; Metazoa; Arthropoda; Insecta; Lepidoptera; Tortricidae.